CCUACGGGUGGCAGCAGUGGGGAAUAUUGCACAAUGGGGGAAACCCUGAUGCAGCGACGCCGCGUGAGUGAAGAAGUACUUCGUUACGUAAAGCUCUAUCAGCAGGGAAGAAAUACUGACUUUAUGGUCAGCAGACGGUACCUGAUUAAGAAGCCCCGGCUAACUACGUGCCAGCAGCCGCGGUAAUCCGUAGGGGGCAAGCGUUAUCCGGAUUUACUGGGUGGAAAGGGAGCGUAGACGGUGCGCCAAGUCUGGAGUGAAAUGCCGCAGCUUAACUGCGGAACUGCUUUGGAAACUGGCGAACUAGAGUGCGGGAGGGGUAAGCGGAAUUCCUAGUGUAGCGGUGAAAUGCGUAGAUAUUAGGAGGAACACCGGUGGCGAAGGCGGUUUACUGGACCGUAACUGACGUUGAGGCUCGAAAGCGUGGGGAGCAAACAGGAUUAGAUACCCCAGUAGUC
RNAcentral lists this ribosomal RNA (458 nucleotides) under uncultured bacterium. Its description in RNAcentral is "partial 16S ribosomal RNA". It matches the Rfam family "Bacterial small subunit ribosomal RNA", at positions 338 to 795 of the family's 1533-position model. The record is from RNAcentral.